AUUGAACGCUGGCGGCAGGCUUAACACAUGCAAGUCGAGCGGUAGCACAAGAGAGCUUGCUCUCUGGGUGACGAGCGGCGGACGGGUGAGUAAUGUCUGGGAAACUGCCUGAUGGAGGGGGAUAACUACUGGAAACGGUAGCUAAUACCGCAUAACGUCGCAAGACCAAAGAGGGGGACCUUCGGGCCUCUUGCCAUCAGAUGUGCCCAGAUGGGAUUAGCUAGUAGGUGGGGUAAUGGCUCACCUAGGCGACGAUCCCUAGCUGGUCUGAGAGGAUGACCAGCCACACUGGAACUGAGACACGGUCCAGACUCCUACGGGAGGCAGCAGUGGGGAAUAUUGCACAAUGGGCGCAAGCCUGAUGCAGCCAUGCCGCGUGUGUGAAGAAGGCCUUCGGGUUGUAAAGCACUUUCAGCGAGGAGGAAGGUGGUGAACUUAAUACGUUCAUCAAUUAACGUUACUCGCAGAAGAAGCACCGGCUAACUCCGUG
This 490-nucleotide ribosomal RNA is filed under the name uncultured bacterium. RNAcentral describes it as "partial 16S ribosomal RNA". It matches the Rfam family "Bacterial small subunit ribosomal RNA", at positions 30 to 507 of the family's 1533-position model. The record is from RNAcentral.